CAGCCGCCGCGGGAAUACGUAGGGGGCAAGCGUUGUCCGGAAUUAUUGGGCGUAAAGCGCGCGCAGGCGGUUCUUUAAGUCUGGUGUCUAAGUGCGGGGCUCAACCCCGUGACGCACUGGAAACUGGGAGACUUGAGUGCAGAAGAGGAGAGCGGAAUUCCACGUGUAGCGGUGAAAUGCGUAGAGAUGUGGAGGAACACCAGUGGCGAAGGCGGCUCUCUGGACUGUAACUGACGCUGAGGCGCGAAAGCGUGGGGAGCAAACAGGAUUAGAUACCCGAGUAGUCCCUGUCUCUUAUACA
Molecule: ribosomal RNA, 301 nt
Filed under: uncultured bacterium
Lineage: Bacteria
Description: partial 16S ribosomal RNA
Rfam family: Bacterial small subunit ribosomal RNA
Source: RNAcentral